AAAUCNCUUAAAGAAAUGCAGGAGAACAC
Molecule: non-coding RNA, 29 nt
Filed under: Mus musculus (house mouse)
Lineage: Eukaryota; Metazoa; Chordata; Mammalia; Rodentia; Muridae
Source: RNAcentral